Molecule: long non-coding RNA, 3517 nt
Filed under: Triticum aestivum (bread wheat)
Lineage: Eukaryota; Viridiplantae; Streptophyta; Magnoliopsida; Poales; Poaceae
Description: long non-coding RNA (TAES_LNC020557)
Source: RNAcentral
UUAGUUGCUACAGAGCUAGGAGAUCUUGGUGUAUAAUAAAAUAUAUUAAUAUGGAGGGGUUCCUUUGUCACCUGAUUUGAUAAGGUAUAUAGUACGGAAGUUUUUUUAUUUCAUAAUCAUAUUCUUGAUGUACUGUUUAACGUAUUUUCUUUUCAGAGAUUUGCCCUUCAAAUUUUCUUGUGAUAGCUAAUUGCCUUUCUGUAAAACUCUUUGUGCGGAUUAGUUGAUAUGAUCAAUGGUCAAACUGUUUGAGUUUCAAAAUCAUUUUAACAUUUCAAAUUUGGGGGUUGUAUAUAUACAACCGGAUAUCAUGUGUAUCAUGCAUAGCGAUCUACUUUGUUCUGUCUGUUAGCAUUAAUUAAUGUCUACUUCUUGAUUAUAUUUGAUAUACUUCAGAUAGUGAGCAUGAUUGUGGGGAUGGUGUGUAUGAGGAUUUUUUCCCCUUCUCCCAUUGGAACACGCAGGUAUAUUUGGGUUUAUAAUAUGGGUUGUUGCCCCAGUUGCUUUUGCUUGGCGAUAAUGGCAAUGCAGUUAUCACCAUGUUUGCACCGUUCUUCACAUGCACAUCCCUAGGCUCCUUAUGUUACUGUUCACCAUCACUGUUGAUUAUUUCUCCUUCUAUUCUGUUAUCCAAUAGGUAUUCUCUUACUACAUAUAAAUUUGGAGGACAAAGCAUUUAUUCUGUUGAUAUAUUAAACCCAAAUUGCUGACAUUUAUUCUGUUGAUAUAUUAAACCCCAAAUUGCUGACAUGUAACGUCUUCUAUCUGAAUUUGUUUCAUAAAAUUAAUCAUUGGUUUAGUUUGAUAGAUUAAACCCAAAUUAGUUUAUGGACUGAACUAGAAAUAACACAAUCACAUAUUAGUUUUCUUUUUAAAUUUCAUAGUAGAGAUUUAGCCGUCGAUGACCCACUACACGUGGAUGCCACAUCCUUUCUUCCUCACCUAUCGCGCGAAUUUUCAAUGCCGGUCCACUGCGAUCAGGGUGCUGGAGGCUCUUGGGCUUGCAGCUCGCAUGCUUGGAGGUAAGUUUUGUAGCCUCCCGUUGCAACGCACGGGCAUUUGUGCUAGUAAUAAUAAAGCACGGAUUGAGUCUCCGGAUUCACCGUCACGGUAGUUUUACAUUAAAGCCCUUGUGUUUUUCGUCCGCCGCGCCGUCCUCCCCGCACCUCGAGCGACCGCGUCUCCCACCCCCGUUUGGAUCCGCCGCCAUCCCGCAUCCUCCGCCGAGCCGUGCCGCCAUCAUCACCGCACCCGGCCUUUCUCCUCUCCGCCGCGCCCUCCUCUCCGCGCCGUUCGAGUCCACACACGGUUCGCCGACGAAGAGGCCCAGGCCGCCGCGCUCCGGGCCCGCGCCGGCCGGCUCGAGUGCGCGCCGCCCACCGCGACUAGCUGCUCAACACUCUCCUCGUCGCUACGGGCAACGGCCGUGAGGAGGAGGACGCGCGGGAGGCGCGACAGCGUCAGAAUCAGCCCGUCUGAUCCGACCGAGGCCUACGACGACACGGAUGUGGAGGCUCUGUCCGCCGCCGUCGCGCUAUAUGCCCUGCCCCUGCUCGCCGAGCCCUGCCUCUCGGUAUCUCCAUCCAUGUACGCUGCCGGGGACCCUGCAGGUCCAAGCUUGUCGGCGAGGGGGAGCGCAGACAGCAGCCUAGCCCGUCAUGGCGUCCACCAAGGUGCAGCGGAUCAUGACCCAGCCCGUCAACCCCAUCUUCCGCUUCCUCCAGAGCGUAAGCCUCUCCCUCCCUACCCACACAUUCCUUUCUUCUCCUUCCCCCGUUUCCUCAUGCUUGCGGUUUCGCUGACCUCGUUUCCUCUGCCGGAGCAGAAGGCGUGCAUCCAGAUCUGGCUCUUCGAGCAGAAGGACAAGCAGAUCGAGGGCAGGAUCAUCGUAAGUGGUUUCUAAUUUCGCUGAAAUUUUUUAUCCUGCAUUUUUGUGGGAGACAUUGCGUGGUAGUGGUGCUGCAAAGAAUUCCACUGUUUGGGGGAAGUUCAGGGGAGCUUCUGCUCUGUCAUUGGGAGGAAGAGUGCGCUUGUUAAAGCUGCGAGUCAUUGGUGCUCUGCGCUGUAGAUGGAAAAUGUGACAAUACUGUGUUGAAGUUUGUUAUAUCCAUACGAGGAGAUACAAGAUGUGGCACUCCUGUGCUGAAUUUCGUUAUGGCCACAUGAUAAGGAGAUAAAAAUGUUGAACUAACUGUAAGCAGGUUCUUGUAGUUGUCUUACUGCAUUUCCAUGUAAUCCUAAUCCAAUUUGCCAUAUCUUAUUGUCCAAGCAAACACAAUAUAAACACAUAUCAAAUGGAACAAAAGUAGCAAUCUCAGAGUGUUUGUUAAUGCACUGGACACCUCUUAUUGCUACUAAUUGAACUGCCAUGUGUCGACAUUAAGAAAAGUAGCUCUAAGCAUCUGCGGGAAACUUUGUUAAUUGGACGACACACUUGUUACACAAAGGAAGUUCUCUGAUAGCCUAUUGCUUGGUUCUAUAUUACUGGCAUUAUGCUUGCUAUUUCUAUUUAAAUACCCCAUAACUUAUUAGCUCCGUAUCUAUUCAUUUUUUCUGAAAAGAAUAACUGUUAUGAUCUAAAACUUUAGCAACUUACUGACGGCGAUCUGGAAUAAAAAUAAUAAGCAUUUCUGUUUGAGAAACCUACUUGAUAUGUUUCACUAAUUUCUGUUGUAGUAAAAUUGUCUAAUUACUUACAGAUUCUUCAUUUAGAUAAAACUAUGUAACACAUGAACUGGAAGCUACUUUAAUUGGAGGUCCAUAGGUUUAUUUCUGACUUACCAAAAACCAUAUCUGAUUUCAUUGUUGUAUGAUUCAUAAUCUUGAAGAUGUGUACCUUAUUUUACUCCAUUGCUUCUCGCCCUCUAAUAGGAUGACCCUUUAAUUAUUUGUUUAUGUAGACUUUGUUCCGUAGCAACGCACGAGUAAUUUACUAGAGCGAGCGGUGUCGUGGUGAUCUCGCUGGCGAGUGACAGGAGGAGGACGACGGGCUGAGCCGAAGGAGGGCGAGGCGUCCACAUGCAGGAGGCUCCCCGGCAGAUCGGGGAGACAGUGCCAAGGCAUCACACCUCCAUUUUCUCGAAGCAGGGCAUGUGUGCUAUUUCUAAAAAAAGAAGCUUCCCUGUUGGCUGGCAUCCCUGAUGCUACACAGGAAUUAUGUAGAAAAAGAAAUGGCAUGUCAUAAUUCUUUGGAUGUAGACCAGUAGGGUCAAUUACAAAUUGUUGGCUGUAAAUGACUUUCAGUUUCUAGCUUUCAUAAAAUUUAGAUUUAACAGUAUGAUGUGGUUGAUGGUGGUCCUAUCUGCUGGUUCAAAUUAUCAUGUUGGAUAAUAUUGCUUUUACUAGCAAUUGCAGUGUUCUUACUAUUUUAUUUCCACAAAUAUCAUCAUGUUUUGCUAUUGAUGUAAUGCUAUAUUUGUUGACUGAAAUUAAACCCUUCAGUUGCUGGCGUGGUGCUCUUAUUACUGUUAUAUUCCUUCACAGAAAGCAAACCUUGUUCAUGGCUAACUUAUAUUAU